CCUACGGGAGGCAGCAGUGAGGAAUAUUGGGCAAUGGGCGCAAGCCUGACCCAGCCAUGCCGCGUGCAGGAAGACGGUCCUAUGGAUUGUAAACUGCUUUUAUACGGGAAGAAACACUCCCUCGUGAGGGAGCUUGACGGUACCGUAAGAAUAAGGAUCGGCUAACUCCGUGCCAGCAGCCGCGGUAAU
RNAcentral lists this ribosomal RNA (189 nucleotides) under uncultured Flavobacterium sp. RNAcentral describes it as "partial 16S ribosomal RNA". It matches the Rfam family "Bacterial small subunit ribosomal RNA", at positions 338 to 524 of the family's 1533-position model. Lineage: Bacteria; Pseudomonadati; Bacteroidota; Flavobacteriia; Flavobacteriales; Flavobacteriaceae. The record is from RNAcentral.